GUUUCAGGGCGGAGUGCAAUUCUCCACUGGCGGUAAAGUCCGCGAGCCUUAUGGCCGAUUCGGUGAAAUUCCGAAACCAACGGUAUAGUCCGGAUGAAAGAA
Molecule: non-coding RNA, 102 nt
Filed under: uncultured Ruminiclostridium sp.
Lineage: Bacteria; Bacillati; Bacillota; Clostridia; Eubacteriales; Oscillospiraceae
Description: FMN riboswitch (RFN element)
Rfam family: FMN riboswitch aptamer (RFN element)
About the family: The RFN element is a highly conserved domain that is found frequently in the 5'-untranslated regions of prokaryotic mRNAs that encode for flavin mononucleotide (FMN) biosynthesis and transport proteins. This element is a metabolite-dependent riboswitch that directly binds FMN in the absence of proteins.
Source: RNAcentral